Molecule: ribosomal RNA, 650 nt
Filed under: Prototheca cerasi
Lineage: Eukaryota; Viridiplantae; Chlorophyta; Trebouxiophyceae; Chlorellales; Chlorellaceae
Description: partial large subunit ribosomal RNA
Rfam family: Eukaryotic large subunit ribosomal RNA
Source: RNAcentral
UAUGCAUAUCAAUAAGCGGAGGAAAAGAAACCAACCAGGAUUCCCCUAGUAACGGCGAGCGAACCGGGAAGAGCCCAGCGUGUCAAUCNUGGCCCUUCGGGGUCCGAGUUGUGGUCUGGAGGGCGGCGCUCCGCGCGGUCCGAUCGCCAAGUCCGCUGGAAAGCGGCGUCGCAGAGGGUGACAACCCCGUGGGCGGUCGGCUUCCGCGCUUCUCGAGCCCGUUCCGCGGAGUCGGGUUGCUUGGGAAUGCAGCUCUAAGCCGGUGGUAAAUCCCAUCGAAGGCUAAAUAUCGGCGGGAGACCGAUAGCGAACAAGUACCGUGAGGGAAAGAUGAAAAGAACUUUGAAAAGAGAGUUAAAAAGUGCCUGAACUCGUUGAGAGGGAAGCGACGUGGACUCGUCGAUCCUUCGGGGGCCGAUGGGCCGCUCUUUGCGGCCCUUGACGCCCCCCGAGAGGUCAGCGUGGGUUGGGCGCCGCGCACAUCCCCGGAAGGCCGNCGUGCCUCCGGNGCUUGCGCGUCGCUCGACCGAGGUUUCCAGGRAGGCGGGCCCUUKACGGGCCCGGGAGGCUGUCUCCSKKCCCNCUCCGMCCKCKACGAGGGUGAAUCCYGSWYGGUCUUCUUUUCCCACCUCUUAUAAGAAUCUGCACUA